This 121-nucleotide ribosomal RNA is filed under the name Streptomyces aurantiacus. RNAcentral's name for it is "partial 16S rRNA". It matches the Rfam family "Bacterial small subunit ribosomal RNA", at positions 162 to 283 of the family's 1533-position model. Lineage: Bacteria; Bacillati; Actinomycetota; Actinomycetes; Kitasatosporales; Streptomycetaceae. The record is from RNAcentral.
UCUAAUACCGGAUACUGACCUGCCAAGGCAUCUUGGUAGGUCGAAAGCUCCGGCGGUGAAGGAUGAGCCCGCGGCCUAUCAGCUUGUUGGUGAGGUAAUGGCUCACCAAGGCGACGACGGG